RNAcentral lists this ribosomal RNA (253 nucleotides) under uncultured bacterium. RNAcentral's name for it is "partial 16S ribosomal RNA". It matches the Rfam family "Bacterial small subunit ribosomal RNA", at positions 524 to 776 of the family's 1533-position model. The record is from RNAcentral.
UACGAAGGGGGCUAGCGUUGCUCGGAAUCACUGGGCGUAAAGGGUGCGUAGGCGGGUUUUUAAGUCAGGGGUGAAAUCCUGGAGCUCAACUCCAGAACUGCCUUUGAUACUGGCGAUCUUGAGUCCGGGAGAGGUGAGUGGAACUGCGAGUGUAGAGGUGAAAUUCGUAGAUAUUCGCAAGAACACCAGUGGCGAAGGCGGCUCACUGGCCCGGUACUGACGCUGAGGUGCGAAAGCGUGGGGAGCAAACAGG